Gossypium arboreum is the source of this 5799-nucleotide long non-coding RNA. RefSeq lists it as uncharacterized. Lineage: Eukaryota; Viridiplantae; Streptophyta; Magnoliopsida; Malvales; Malvaceae. The record is from RefSeq and is a predicted model, not a curated record. The transcript is spliced from 4 exons.
GCUAGAAACCAACAAUUAACCCCAACUUGAAAAUAAUGCCACCUCCUAGGAAAACAGCAAUUCAUAAUUAUCAUCCGUCACUUCCAUCCAUCAUCAGCAAACCGAAAACACCUACUCCCAAAAGACCCAUUUCUAAAAGAAACCAACCAUUAGCUUUCUUCAAAAACACCUCCCCUUUCAACUUCAAUAGUCUGUCCCCCUAUCUCCCUUAAGUGCUCUGUCCAUCUCUAUUCCUCAACCGCCAUAGCCUCAGCCCCAGGAGGAACCCUAUUCGAUAGAUAAGUAGAAACUCCCAUUUUAAUUCCUUUAGUCGCAAUUGCAUGAGCAACUCUGUUAGAAUCCCUGUUUAUGAAACGAAAAACACAGAAAUUGAAGUUUAAACUCCGUUGCUUUGAAUCUUUGAUGAAUGCUGCGAUUUCAGAUCUGUCCUCUUGUUCUUCUUGUAGUUUGUGGAUCACUGUCCGAGAGUCUCAUUCCACUUUCACUUCACUCAGUCCAAGUUGUAUACCCAGAUCAAGAGCCUAGAGGCACGCCACCGUCUCAGGCGAAAAAACUGACGGGCAGUCUCUGAAUAAAUGCUCUAUCGUUUCUGCUCUUGCUUGACACCUUUGACAACUGGCAUAAUUCAUCAACCUUCUAAAAUACCGAGUAUUCACCAGUCGACUCUCCUCUCCAAAUAGUGAGAUCCUCAUGCGAGCUCAAGGCCAAUGGAAUACAUAAGAUUCUCUCAGCCUCGCUCUUCGUAAAGGGACCCAAGCAUCAUCCCAAAUGGACACUUGCCUACCAUCGCCAAUCUGUCAUCCCAAACCUUUCAUAAGGAGACCCUUUACAGCCCAAAUGCUCUACCAGGUAAAGGAAGGUAAAUUACCCAACCUAGAGUUUAAAAAAUCGGAGUCCUUAUAAUAUUUUUUCUUCAAAGUGCGCGCUAGUAAAGAAUUAGGAUUACGUAAUAAACGCCAACCCUGUUUGGCCAAUAACGCAAUAUUAAAAAGGCUAAGACUACAAAAACCCAUACCAUCAUCCUCCUUGAGCUCGCUAAGAGCCUUCCACUCGCAGAAUGUAUCAUUCUCUUCCCACUACCAUUUUGCCACCAAGAGAAGCUCAUUGUUUUUUCUAGUUCAGAACAAAAUGAUUUUGGCAAAAGAAAAUAUGCCAUUGAAAAGGUAGGAAUUGCUUGUAAAACAGCUUUUAUAAAAACCUCUUUACCGUAUUGAGAAAUAAAUCUUAUGCUCCAGCUGUUAAUCUUCUAUUUCAACCUAUCCUUCAGGUUUUGAAAAGCCCACUUUUUUUUUCCUUCCUAUCCUAUUUGGAAGUCCCAAAUACUUCUCCAUAUCAUUUGAACACCUCACAUUCAGACCAUGCAAGACCAAGUUUUUCCCCUGAUCAAUCACAUUUGUGCUAAAAAAAUAGUGGAUUUUUCAAAAUUGACGCAUGCCCUGAACAAGCCUCAUAUUCCUAGAAAAUUUCUCUAAAUGCACUUAUCUCCCUGUUAGACACCUCACCAAAAAGGAUACAAUCAUCUGCAAAUAUAAGAUAAGUAAUUGUUAGAAAAGAUCUACCUUUCCUAAUUUGCCAAUCUCAUAAGUGCUGACAAACCUUCUCCACUGAAUAGAAACAAAUAAGGGCUUAACGGGUCACCUUGGCGGAAUCCCCUUGUUGCCCUGAAAAUUGAGCCCUCUUCCCCAUUAAUUAAAAUAGAGUAUUUAACAGAAUUAAUACAACGGAAAAUAACAUCCAUAAAUACUUCUGUACAACUCAUUUUUGUCAUUACCCCUUUGAUAAAAGACCAUUUCACUCUAUCAUAAGCCUUACUCUUGUCAGAAAAGAUAAGUAAUUGUUAGAAAAGAUCUACCCUUCCUAAUUUGCCAAUCUCAUAAGUGCUGACAAACCUUCUCCACUGAAUAGAAACAAAUAAGGGCUUAACAGGUCACCUUGGCGCAAUCCCCUUGUUGCCUUAAAAAUUGAGCCCUCUUCCCCAUUAAUUAAAAUAGAGUAUUUAACAGAAUUAAUACAACGGAAAAUAACAUCCAUAAAUACUUCUGUACAACUCAUUUUUGUCAUUACCCCUUUGAUAAAAGACCAUUUCACUCUAUCAUAAGCCUUACUCUUGUCAAGUUUCAAAGCCAUAAACCCUUUUCUACCAGCUCUUUUAUUUUUCAAAAAAUUAAGUACCUCGUAUGCCAGCAACACAUUGUCCGUGAUGAGUCUUCCAAGUACAAACGCGCUCUAAGCCUCAUCAAUACAACCAUCCAGCACCUCUUGUAAACAAUUUUCCACUGUCUUAGCGAUGAUUUUAUAAAUCACCGUACACAGACUUAUGGGACGAAAAUUUUUCAGGUUCAAAGGAUUAACAGUUUUUGGGAUCAGCACUAUGUACGUCCUAUUAAUAUCUUCCAGCGAACAACUUUCAUUCAAGAUAUUCAAGCAGAAUUCACUAGUGUCCUUACCAAUAAUACUCCAAAAUUUCUGGUAAAAUACUGCUGGAAAAUCGUCAGGCCCAGAUGCCUUUGUAGGCCUCAUACCUUUCAACACCUUCACGAUCUCUUCCUCUGAAUAAGGAGCUAGCAACCCCUGGCUCAUACUAUCAGAAAUACAUGAAUGAACCCCUGAAAGGACAUGCUCCAAAUUUCCAACACCUCUAGACCCGAAUAAGUGUGAAAAAUAAUCCCGAGCAAUAUUCUCGAUGUCCUUCCCCUCCGUAGUAAUAGAAUCAUCAAUUCUUUGUAAACCACGAAUCCGAUUGGUACAUCAUCUCUGAAAGGCAUGUCUGUGGAAAAAAACGGUAUUUUUAUCUCCCAUUUUUAACCAGUUAACUCUUGUCCGUUUCUCACAAUACCUUUCCUCCUUGUCCAUCUCCAUAUCAAAUGUAAUUUCACCUCUAUGAGUUCUUCCAAAUUCCCUUCCGACCUAUCCUCGCAAUUCAAUUCCUCCAGUCUUCUGCUCAAUCGUUGCACUUCUCUCAUUCUCUUAUGUUUUAUCCUUCUCGCCCAAUCCUUCAACCCCAAAGCCAAAAUUGACAUGCGAUUAAGGAAAGAACCAGAACUUACAUUCCAUAGCUUCUUAAUCAUUUCCUCAUACGACUCUUCAAGAACCCACCAAGCUUCAAACCAGAAUCUAGCUUGUCAUUUAUUCAACUCUCCCUUAUUCGUCUCAAUGAGCAAGGGACAAUGAUUCGAUAAAGAGUGAGGAAGAUGCCUUAAAGAAUAUGUUGGGAAAAGUUGGAGCCAGCCAUCAGUAGCAACUCCACUGUCGAGUCUUUCCCUAAUAUUCCGGUCCAUUAUUCGACCUCUUUCCCAAGUAAACCAAAGCCUAGAAAAACCAAUAUCCACCAAUUGGCAAGCAUCUAAUGUUCGACGGAAAGCCUCCAUUCGAUCCUCCUCCCAAGGUAAACCCCACCUUUUUCCAUGAGCAAAAAGAAUAUCAUUAAAAUCACCACCUACAAUCCAAGGAAGCGAAUUAUUUCUCCCCAAAAUUUUGAGUAAUUCCCACGUCUCCGCCUUAUAUCUUACAUCUGAGGCUCCAUAAAAACCCAUAAAACGCCACCGAGGACAGCUCCUCUUGGUUCUCCACAUCAAUGUGGAUUUUUGAGAAACUUUUUAAGGCGACUAAUUGUCCUCCAUUCCACCCAAUACUUAAUAACCCUUGAGAACCAUCUGCAGGGACAUCAACUCUAUAACAAAACCCACACCGUCUCCUAACACCCUCCAUACUACUAGUAUCUAAUUUAGUCUCCAUAAAGAAAACAAUUUGGGGAUGAUGAAGUUUCACCAUAUGCUGAAAUCUUCUAACUGCUCGUAGACUCCCCAAUCCACGAACAUUCCAGCAAUAAAUUUUCAUUUCUUUUGGUCGGCAUGCUCCAUGGCAGCCACCGAUAUCUGUUGUUUAUGAGCUGAAAUCCCACCAAUAACCUCCAAUGAAUCCUGACCAUUAGAAACAUUAGAGAUCAAAAAAUCGAACCUCUAUCUUUUUUUUCCUUCCUCAUUAAUUAUUGGAUCCUCUACUAAUUCACAUUCCAUACUUGAUAACUCUACUCCAGCAGUGGUCCCCUUGUCGUCAGAAUAUUUCCUCAAAACACUUCCUUGAACAAAUGUCCCACCAAUUGAAUUUUCCCCUUCCCCACAGUCUAUCCCUCAUUAUUCCCGAAAAUCCCCCUUUUCUGACCAUUAUUCAAGAUGGCUGGAAUAUUGCAACCUUCCAAAUUUAUCCCCAAAAGAUUGUGCACAUUAGCCCAUGAUCCACGCGUCUGAUUUUGGCUAGAAUUCUGACCAAAUUGCAUCUCAACAUGAUACUUUCCAAAAUUACUAUCACUUUCCUCCCUCAACCAAAUACUAUUGACAGUGCUAGCUCUCCUCACUAGAGCCCUCAACUUCAGAUCCCAUCCCAACUCUAAUUCCUGCAAACCAGUUUGUAAUCGCAUCAGGCAAAAAUUAUCUCCAUGCCCAAGGUAGCCACAUAAAAAGCAAAACAAAGUUAAUUUCUCAUAUUUAUAUUUUUAUAAGUGAAUUUUGAGGCAGAAAUCAUAAUUUUUUUCUUCCUUUUCAAAGGACUUCUAACAUCAAUCUGAACACGAAUACGCAUAUAGUUCCUAUAACCAUAAAGAACUUGUUUCGUAUCAUACUCUAAAAAUCGGCCAAGGAAAUUUCCAAACUGCAACGCCAUUAAGUCUUUGAAAAAACUAGGUGGCAAGUCAUGCACCUGAACCCACCAGUCUGAAAAUACUAAUGGCACAGCCAUCGGAUCUUCGUUCUCCUGAAUCCUAUAGAAAAUCAACAGGUGAUUGUUGAAAGUCCAAGGAGCUCCUAUAAUAACCUGAGAAAUAUCAAGCUCGUUAAAAAACUUGAACAAAUAAAGCCUCUCCCCCAAAUCCGUUAUUUGCAUCCCCUCCAAAGGAUGCCAAAUAUUUGCCAAAGUAUUCCUCAUGGCUGGGAAAUGCACCACACUAGCCGUAAGAAAACGCCCAACCAAAUAAAAUUUGAAAAUAGUGGACUAUUCAUCUACCUCUCCUGGCAAAACGAAAGCAUCUUCUUCCCCAUCUUCUAGACUCAGAUCUGCAAUACCACUUUCCAUCCCCCCCCCAAUCAGCACCAGAACACAGCUUCCCAGAUCGCGAACUAACAUAAAACCAGAUUCCAAAUAAAAGAAAACUAAAACUUGAAAAAGAAAAGAAGAGAAGACUCCAAAUCGUGCCACCAGGCAGACAGAAACGCGCCAAUUGGCAGAAGUUAAAUGACUAUUACUAGUACUGAAUAAAAUAGGGAAAGAAAAAUAUUAAAUUUUUACCUAUUAAAUUAAAAAUAACAUAAAAAUGUAUGUGUAGGCUUAAAACAAAUCUAAAUUAAUCAUUUAUAAAUUUAGACAAAAAUUAAUGUUAAUAAAUCAAAAUUAAGCAAACAAAUGUCAUUUAUAAAUGUAAUCUGAAUUUGAAUUGCAUAUACUUUCCCUUAAAUAAUAUUUUUAAAAAAUAUUCUAUAAAGAAAUCUCUAACAGUUUAAUUUGAGCAACAAAUAAUGUUUCCUGGUAUAAGUUAGCGGUAAAUGGUUCCCCAUUUUAGGACAAUUGAUAAUUGAUAUAUAAAUAACAUGUCUUAAAACUGUUUCCACAAAUUGUGCUAUGCAAGAUUUGAGUUCUCAUUUUUCAUAUCUAUAAAAUUUGAUUCCAUUAAUUCAUUUAAUCAAAAAUUUAUAAUUGAUUCUACUGGUAUGGAUAUUGUUGUUUUUGUAGAAGGACAUGGGUUGAAGUAUGUUAAAGCACAUUAUCUUCUUAUUUAUGGGUUGAGGAGAGAUUAUGAAUAGUUUUAAA